AGCAGCCGCGGUAAUUCCAGCUCCAAUAGCGUAUAUUAAAGUUGUUGCAGUUAAAAAGCUCGUAGUUGAACUUCGGGAUUUACCCAUUGGUCAGGCUUAAUUGUCUGCACUGGUGAGAUAAAUCUCUACCUUCUGAGGAACUUUCAUGCCAUUUAUUUGGUGUGAUUGGAAAUCAGGACUAUUACUUUGAAAAAUUAGAGUGUUUAAAGCAGGCUAACGUCUGAAUAUAUUAGCAUGGAAUAAUGAAAUAGGACGGCUUGGUUCUAUUUCGUUGGUUUCUAGGAUCACCGUAAUGAUUAAUAGGGAUAGUUGGGGGCAUUAGUAUUCAAUUGUCAGAGGUGAAAUUCUUGGAUUUAUUGAAGACUAACUACUGCGAAAGCAUUUGCCAAGGAUGUUUUCAUUAAUCAAGAACGAAAGUUAGGGGAUCGAAGACGAUCAGAUACCGUCGUA
Molecule: ribosomal RNA, 450 nt
Filed under: uncultured Diversispora
Lineage: Eukaryota; Fungi; Glomeromycota; Glomeromycetes; Diversisporales; Diversisporaceae
Description: SSU rRNA
Rfam family: Eukaryotic small subunit ribosomal RNA
Source: RNAcentral